UGGGGAAUUUUGCACAAUGGGGGAAACCCUGAUGCAGCGACGCCGCGUGAUUUAGAAGGCCUUCGGGUUGUAAAAAUCUUUUCUAUGGGAAGAAAAUGACAGUACCAUAGGAAUAAGGACCGGCUAAUUACGUGCCAGCAGCCGCGGCAAUACGUAAGGUCCGAGCGUUGUUCGGAAUCAUUGGGCGUAAAGGGUACGUAGGCGGGUAAGCAAGUUAGAAGUGAAAUCCUAUAGCUCAACUAUAGUAAGCUUUUAAAACUGCUCAUCUUGAGGGAUGGAAGGGAAAGUGGAAUUCCUAGUGUAGCGGUGAAAUGCGCAGAUAUUAGGAGGAAUACCGGUGGCGAAGGCGACUUUCUGGCCAUAACCUGACGCUGAGGUACGAAAGCGUGGGUAGCAAACAGG
This 402-nucleotide ribosomal RNA is filed under the name bacterium. RNAcentral describes it as "partial 16S ribosomal RNA". It matches the Rfam family "Bacterial small subunit ribosomal RNA", at positions 355 to 776 of the family's 1533-position model. The record is from RNAcentral.